CCCCGUUCUCCCAUUUCCCGUUCCUCCAUUCCCCCAUUGCCCGUUCCUCCAUUCCCCGUUCCUCCAUUCCCCGUUCCUCCAUUCCACGUUUUUCGACAGAGAAGACGAUCUUUUUGCCUGUAUUCAAUCUACAAACACUAAAAACAAGUUUACUAUUCGUAUUUUACUCGUAUUCUACUCGUAUGUACUCGUAUUAUACUCGUAUGUACUCGUAUGUACUUGUGUUUUACUCGUAUGUACUCGUGUGUUACUCGUAUGUUACUCGUAUGUACUCGUAUGUUACUCGUAUGUACUCGUGUGUUACUCGUAUGUACUCG
Molecule: non-coding RNA, 317 nt
Organism: Paramuricea clavata
Lineage: Eukaryota; Metazoa; Cnidaria; Anthozoa; Malacalcyonacea; Plexauridae
Source: the annotation of a GenBank genome assembly